RNAcentral lists this ribosomal RNA (265 nucleotides) under uncultured archaeon. Its description in RNAcentral is "partial 16S ribosomal RNA". It matches the Rfam family "Archaeal small subunit ribosomal RNA", at positions 718 to 982 of the family's 1478-position model. The record is from RNAcentral.
AGUCACUGACAUUAGAUACCCCGGUAGUCCCAGCCGUAAACAAUGUGCGUUAGGUGUGUCGGUAACCACGCGUUACUGAUGCGCCGAAGAGAAAUCGUGAAACGCACCACCUGGGAAGUACGGUCGCAAGGCUGAAACUUAAAGGAAUUGGCGGGGGAGCGCCACAACAGGUGGAGCCUGCGGUUUAAUUGGAUUCAACGCCGGACAUCUCACCGGAUAAGACAGCUGAAUGAUUGUCAAUCUGAAGGUUUUACAUGACUAGCUG